This 492-nucleotide ribosomal RNA is filed under the name uncultured bacterium. RNAcentral describes it as "partial 16S ribosomal RNA". It matches the Rfam family "Bacterial small subunit ribosomal RNA", at positions 29 to 507 of the family's 1533-position model. The record is from RNAcentral.
AGUGAACGCUGGCGGUAGGCCUAACACAUGCAAGUCGAACGGCAGCACAGUAAGAGCUUGCUCUUACGGGUGGCGAGUGGCGGACGGGUGAGGAAUACAUCGGAAUCUACUUUUUCGUGGGGGAUAACGUAGGGAAACUUACGCUAAUACCGCAUACGACCUACGGGUGAAAGCAGGGGAUCUUCGGGCCUUGCGCGAUUGAAUGAGCCGAUGUCGGAUUAGCUAGUUGGCGGGGUAAAGGCCCACCAAGGCGACGAUCCGUAGCUGGUCUGAGAGGAUGAUCAGCCACACUGGAACUGAGACACGGUCCAGACUCCUACGGGAGGCAGCAGUGGGGAAUAUUGGACAAUGGGCGCAAGCCUGAUCCAGCCAUACCGCGUGGGUGAAGAAGGCCUUCGGGUUGUAAAGCCCUUUUGUUGGGAAAGAAAAGCAGCGGGUUAAUACCCCGCUGUUCUGACGGUACCCAAAGAAUAAGCACCGGCUAACUUCGUG